RNAcentral lists this long non-coding RNA (442 nucleotides) under Eucalyptus grandis. RNAcentral's name for it is "long non-coding RNA (EGRA_LNC000097)". Lineage: Eukaryota; Viridiplantae; Streptophyta; Magnoliopsida; Myrtales; Myrtaceae. The record is from RNAcentral.
GCCAAAAUCUGGUCUCACGGAUUUGGGCCACAAAGAAGAUUAGGCUCAAGGUACCACCGGAGCCCUUUAUCAAUAAUGAUUUAGGUCCAGCUCAAAACAAAUUCGGCCCAACCUAAUUUCAACGACGUCCUCUUUAAGGACGAAAGCCCAACCUAAUUUCAAAGUGAGCACAACUAGGACAUCACCAGGAACCGCCUCAGUCCCACUAACCCCCGGACCACCUCUAUUAAACACGUUUCACAACUUCAUGAAGACAUUUCAACAAACAGCUUAUAUGCAUUGAAAGGCUUGAAUACAGUGAUCAGCAUUUAGAACAGUAACGAGGUCACGAACCAUCUACUAAUGACUCGGAUUUCUCAGUGACUUCCACAAAAGCAUCACGAAUACCGUUCGGCCUUGAGUCUUACCAGAAAAGAGGGCAAAACAUGGAAGGUGGUGUUAC